UGGGGAAUAUUGGGCAAUGGGCGAAAGCCUGACCCAGCCACGCCGCGUGAGUGAUGAAGGCCUUCGGGUCGUAAAGCUCUGUGGGGAGGGACGAACAAGCCUGUUGUUAACACCAGCGGGCCCUGACGGUACCUCCUUAGCAAGCACCGGCUAACCCUGUGCCAGCAGCCGCGGUAAUACAGGGGGUGCAAACGUUGCUCGGAAUUAUUGGGCGUAAAGCGCACGUAGGCGGUCUGUUAUGUCGGAUGUGAAAGCCCUUGGCUUAACUGAGGAAGUGCAUCCGAAACUGGCAGGCUCGAGUAUGUAAGAGGGUCGCGGAAUUCCCGGUGUAGAGGUGAAAUUCGUAGAUAUCGGGAGGAACACCGGUGGCGAAGGCGGCGACCUGGGACAAUACUGACGCUGAGGUGCGAAAGCGUGGGGAGCAAACAG
RNAcentral lists this ribosomal RNA (429 nucleotides) under uncultured bacterium. RNAcentral's name for it is "bacterial SSU rRNA". It matches the Rfam family "Bacterial small subunit ribosomal RNA", at positions 355 to 775 of the family's 1533-position model. The record is from RNAcentral.